Molecule: ribosomal RNA, 398 nt
Filed under: uncultured Nocardioides sp.
Lineage: Bacteria; Bacillati; Actinomycetota; Actinomycetes; Propionibacteriales; Nocardioidaceae
Description: bacterial SSU rRNA
Rfam family: Bacterial small subunit ribosomal RNA
Source: RNAcentral
UGGGGAAUAUUGGACAAUGGGCGGAAGCCUGAUCCAGCAACGCCGCGUGAGGGAUGACGGCCUUCGGGUUGUAAACCUCUUUCAAGUACCGUACGAAGCGUGAGUGACGGUAGGUACAGAAGAAGCACCGGCCAACUACGUGCCAGCAGCCGCGGUAAUACGUAGGGUGCGAGCGUUGUCCGGAAUUAUUGGGCGUAAAGGGCUCGUAGGCGGUUUGUCGCGUCGGGAGUGAAAACCUCGGGCUUAACUCGGGGCUUGCUUUCGAUACGGGCAGACUGGAGGUAUGCAGGGGAGAACGGAAUUCCUGGUGUAGCGGCGAAAUGCGCAGAUAUCAGGAGGAACACCGGUUGGCGAAGGCGGUUCUCUGGGCAUGACCUGACGCUGAGGAGCGAAAGUGU